ACGUGAGCAACCUGCCCAGAAGAGGGGGAAUAGCCCGACGGAAACUACGGAUUAAUACCGCGUACGGUCCCGCAGGAUAUCCUGCGACGACUAAAGGUAGGCCUUUGUGCUGCCGCUUCUGGAUGGGCUCGCGGCCUAUCAGCUUGUUGGUGAGGUAAAGGCUCACCAAGGCGACGACGGGUAACUGAUCUGAGAGGAUGAUCAGUCACACUGGAACUGAGACACGGUCCAGACACCUACGGGUGGCAGCAGUCGAGAAUCAUUCGCAAUGGGCGAAAGCCUGACGGUGCGACGCCGCGU
This 300-nucleotide ribosomal RNA is filed under the name uncultured Verrucomicrobium sp. Its description in RNAcentral is "bacterial SSU rRNA". It matches the Rfam family "Bacterial small subunit ribosomal RNA", at positions 115 to 402 of the family's 1533-position model. Lineage: Bacteria; Pseudomonadati; Verrucomicrobiota; Verrucomicrobiia; Verrucomicrobiales; Verrucomicrobiaceae. The record is from RNAcentral.